This 468-nucleotide ribosomal RNA is filed under the name uncultured bacterium. Its description in RNAcentral is "partial 16S ribosomal RNA". It matches the Rfam family "Bacterial small subunit ribosomal RNA", at positions 28 to 507 of the family's 1533-position model. The record is from RNAcentral.
GACGAACGCUGGCGGCGUGCUUAACACAUGCAAGUCGAACGGAAAGGCCCUGCUUUUGUGGGGUGCUCGAGUGGCGAACGGGUGAGUAACACGUGAGUAACCUGCCCUUGACUUUGGGAUAACUUCAGGAAACUGGGGCUAAUACCGGAUAGGAGCUCCUGCUGCAUGGUGGGGGUUGGAAAGUUUCGGCGGUUGGGGAUGGACUCGCGGCUUAUCAGCUUGUUGGUGGGGUAGUGGCUUACCAAGGCUUUGACGGGUAGCCGGCCUGAGAGGGUGACCGGCCACAUUGGGACUGAGAUACGGCCCAGACUCCUACGGGAGGCAGCGGUGGGGAGUAUUACACAGUGGGCGGAAGGCUGAUGCAGCAACGCCGCGUGCGGGAUGACGGCCUUCGGGUUGUAAACCGCUUUCGCCUGUGACGAAGCGAGAGUGACGGUAAUGGGUAAAGAAGCACCGGCUAACUACGUG